Molecule: ribosomal RNA, 468 nt
Filed under: uncultured bacterium
Lineage: Bacteria
Description: partial 16S ribosomal RNA
Rfam family: Bacterial small subunit ribosomal RNA
Source: RNAcentral
GACGAACGCUGGCGGCGUGCUUAACACAUGCAAGUCGAACGGAAAGGCCCUGCUUUUGUGGGGUGCUCGAGUGGCGAACGGGUGAGUAACACGUGAGUAACCUGCCCUUGACUUUGGGAUAACUUCAGGAAACUGGGGCUAAUACCGGAUAGGAGCUCCUGCUGCAUGGUGGGGGUUGGAAAGUUUCGGCGGUUGGGGAUGGACUCGCGGCUUAUCAGCUUGUUGGUGGGGUAGUGGCUUACCAAGGCUUUGACGGGUAGCCGGCCUGAGAGGGUGACCGGGCACAUUGGGACUGAGAUACGGCCCAGACUCCUACGGGAGGCAGCAGUGGGGAGUAUUGCACAAUGGGCGGAAGCCUGAUGCAGCAACGCCGCGUGCGGGAUGACGGCCUUCGGGUUGUAAACCGCUUUCGCCUGUGACGAAGCGUGAGUGACGGUAAUGGGUAAAGAAGCACCGGCUAACUACGUG